UAUAUAUAUAUAUAUAUAUAUCUAUAUAUAUAUAUAUGUGUGUGUGUGUGUGUGUGUGUGUGUGUGUGUGUGUGUGUGUGUGUGUGUGUGUGUGUGUGUGUGUCCGGCUACUAUACUCUUAUGAGUACGAUCGCCCUCGUACUCAUAAGUUGUUUUUGAUGAUAGAGCUUCUAAAUUGAUGAUCUAUACAGUUAAACAUUAUUUAGAGCAUUUAAAACUUCUAUAAAUCAAAUUUUAUAAUUUUUCGACCUCAUUUACCUUACGAUCAAAAGCUCACAAAAUUGACAAUUUUUAACAGUCGGUAUUACUUGCUAGUUUAACGGUGUAAAACAAUUGGAAUAGGUUGAAUUUUUGAUAGAAAAUUUUAUUAACUACCUAGAUAAAGAUCAAUAACUCCGAUCUUACAUUGAAGCAUCCGAUCAUUCAUUUUUAGGACGUCGUUCGAUUUUGACUGUUCAUUUUAUGCCCGUUUGAUGGACUUUAUGAUGAUUUCGAAAAAUUACAAAAGUUAUUUUCUAGAAGUUUCAAAUACUCUAGAUCCUGUUUAACAGAGUGGAUCGUCGAUUCGGAAGCUCCAUCAUCGAAAACAA
RNAcentral lists this long non-coding RNA (590 nucleotides) under Ananas comosus (pineapple). Its description in RNAcentral is "long non-coding RNA (ACOM_LNC040897)". The record is from RNAcentral. Lineage: Eukaryota; Viridiplantae; Streptophyta; Magnoliopsida; Poales; Bromeliaceae.